CGGCGGACGGGUGAGUAACACGUGGAUAACUUACCUAUAAGACUGGGAUAACUUCGGGAAACCGGAGCUAAUACCGGAUAAUAUAUUGAACCGCAUGGUUCAAUAGUGAAAGACGGUUUUGCUGUCACUUAUAGAUGGAUCCGCGCCGCAUUAGCUAGUUGGUAAGGUAACGGCUUACCAAGGCAACGAUGCGUAGCCGACCUGAGAGGGUGAUCGGCCACACUGGAACUGAGACACGGUCCAGACUCCUACGGGAGGCAGCAGCU
Molecule: ribosomal RNA, 266 nt
Filed under: uncultured Staphylococcus sp.
Lineage: Bacteria; Bacillati; Bacillota; Bacilli; Caryophanales; Staphylococcaceae
Description: partial 16S ribosomal RNA
Rfam family: Bacterial small subunit ribosomal RNA
Source: RNAcentral